GAUUAACGCUAGCGGCAGGCCUAAUACAUGCAAGUCGAACGGGAUUUCGGGUAGCAAUAUCUGAAUGAGAGUGGCGUACGGGUGCGUAACACGUAUGCAAUCUACCUCUGACUGGGGAAUAGCCUUCCGAAAGGAAGAUUAAUACCGCAUAAAAUAAUGAAGUGGCAUCACUUUAUUAUCAAAACUCUGGUGGUCAGAGAUGAGCAUGCGUCCGAUUAGCUAGUUGGCGGGGUAACGGCCCACCAAGGCGACGAUCGGUAGGGGUCUGAGAGGAUGAUCCCCCACCACUGG
This 291-nucleotide ribosomal RNA is filed under the name uncultured bacterium. RNAcentral describes it as "partial 16S ribosomal RNA". It matches the Rfam family "Bacterial small subunit ribosomal RNA", at positions 28 to 317 of the family's 1533-position model. The record is from RNAcentral.